This 66-nucleotide transfer RNA is filed under the name Lipotactes tripyrga. Its description in RNAcentral is "tRNA-Tyr". Lineage: Eukaryota; Metazoa; Arthropoda; Insecta; Orthoptera; Tettigoniidae. The record is from RNAcentral.
GGUAGAAUGGCUGAGAUAAGGCGAUAAAUUGUAAAUUUAUUUAGAAGGUGAAUACCUUUUCUAUCA